RNAcentral lists this ribosomal RNA (502 nucleotides) under uncultured bacterium. RNAcentral describes it as "bacterial SSU rRNA". It matches the Rfam family "Bacterial small subunit ribosomal RNA", at positions 1 to 507 of the family's 1533-position model. The record is from RNAcentral.
CACGAGUUUGAUCAUGGCUCAGAUUGAACGCUGGCGGAAUGCUUUACACAUGCAAGUCGAACGGUAGAGGGGGCAACCCUUGAGAGUGGCGAACGGGUGAGUAAUAUAUCGGAACGUGCCCAGUCGUGGGGAUAACGUAGCGAAAGUUACGCUAAUACCGCAUACGAUCUAAGGAUGAAAGCGGGGGACUCGCAAGAGCCUCGCGCGAUUGGAGCGGCCGAUAUCAGAUUAGGUAGUUGGUGGGGUAAAGGCUCACCAAGCCAACGAUCUGUAGCUGGUCUGAGAGGACGACCAGCCACACUGGAACUGAGACACGGUCCAGACUCCUACGGGAGGCAGCAGUGGGGAAUUUUGGACAAUGGACGCAAGUCUGAUCCAGCCAUUUCGCGUGCAGGAUGAAGGCCCUCGGGUUGUAAACUGCUUUUGUACGGAACGAAAAGGUUUCUAUUAAUACUAGGAGCUCAUGACGGUACCGUAAGAAUAAGCACCGGCUAACUACGUG